Molecule: ribosomal RNA, 427 nt
Filed under: uncultured bacterium
Lineage: Bacteria
Description: bacterial SSU rRNA
Rfam family: Bacterial small subunit ribosomal RNA
Source: RNAcentral
UGGGGAAUAUUGCGCAAUGGGCGAAAGCCUGACGCAGCCAUACCGCGUGUGUGAAGAAGGCCUUCGGGUUGUAAAGCACUUUCAGUGGGGAGGAAAAGCUGGUGGCUAAUAUCCAUCGGCCGUGACGCUACCCACAGAAGAAGCACCGGCUAAUUCCGUGCCAGCAGCCGCGGUAAUACGGAAGGUGCGAGCGUUAAUCGGAAUUACUGGGCGUAAAGCGCACGUAGGUGGCUUGGUAAGUCGGAUGUGAAAGCCCCGGGCUCAACCUGGGAACGGCAUUCGAUACUGCUGAGCUAGAGUACGAAAGAGGGGGGUGGAAUUCCAGGUGUAGCGGUGAAAUGCGUAGAGAUCUGGAGGAACACCGGUGGCGAAGGCGGCCCCCUGGUUCGAUACUGACGCUGAGGUGCGAAAGCGUGGGGAGCAAACA